GCACAGAAGAGGGUUGGGGAAAUUUUCUGUCAAUGCAAUUCUCACAGGCAAUGCAGCUUCAAGUGCAACUGUAGAUGCAUCUGUACUUAACCUCACAGCAAGGAGCGGCUCCCAACCCUUCAGACUGCACCUUCAGGCACCUUUUAUUUUUCUGUGUCUCUUUUGGAGAGGUGCGAGUGGGGCAAAUUACGAAGAACCUUAAUUACGAAGGGAGGGGACAGAGGUUCCAUUGGCUGUCCCCAAUGGGAGUCUUAAAGACACCUGCAGCCAGCCAGCUGUGGACACCGGGGGACACUGGGACGUUCCUCCUUGUCUCCACCCGCUGAAGUUCGCUCUAGAGAAGCUAGCUUGCAUCUCCGCACAGAAGAUCCGCAGCGCUCGCAGAUCUGGUCCGGGGUCCUGACGCUCCCGGGGAGCCACGGAGAUCGGGUGGACCACAGCGGAGCUGAGAACCGGGGGCGAGCGUGCGGAGCCUUUCCAGGCGAAACAGCGCGCACCGCUCGGGCGGCGCCCAGCAUGGAGUGGAAGCUCAAUCUGCUGCUCUACUUAGCGCUCUUCUUCUUCCUGCUCUUCCUCCUGUUCCUCCUGCUCUUCGUGGUCAUCAAGCAGCUGAAGAACUCGGUGGCCAAUACAGCCGGGACGCUGCAGCCGGGGCGUCUGUCGCUGCACCGGGAGCCUUGGGGUUUCAAUAACGAGCAAGCAGUGUGACCUGGCUGGCAGGGUCUCAGCUCCAAAGGGACUCAGGUAUACCACCCCUCUAGAGCGGCGGCAAGGGGACACACUCUCUGUUCCUCCCGGGUCUCUGGACCCGCUACAGUGCAGGGGACCGCGGGGACCGGAGUCUAGUCCCGGAUCGAGUUUUUCUAGAGUAAGCCUGAUUCCGAGAGAGCGGAGACGCGCGAUGAGGGACAGCUUUGGGGCCAAGAAUGGUUUGCAUGUCUGAGAACUCUUCUUCCCGGACCAACUUCACUUGUAUCUAAGGGUGGAAAACUCUAUUAUUCAGUCAGCUCAGCUCAGCCACUUCCAACUGAAGAGUGCGAGCUUUGAGGGGAAUUUCUAUGGUGGUGCCCGAGAGAAAUGAUUCAGUGGCCUCUUUGGGGUGGGGGAUUUCCUCCUAUCUUUGAUUGUUAUUCCUAGUCUAGCCUGAGGUUUGUUAAGGGUAGGCUUAGACUCUGGGACAUCAGAGGGCGAGUAUGAGCAUGAUUCGCUGGAAAAUGACCUUUAGAUGAUGGCUCGGAGGACAGACAAAGGGGCUACUUUGCAUAGUGUAGGAGGAGCCGAAAGAGCAGUGUGAGGAGAGAGGCCUGUUUGUGGUUAAUAUAGCAGACCUUUUGGGAAAGGCUGACUGUCUAAAGUAAAACUCACCUGUGCAAGGUGGGAUAAUGUUAGUUUGAGAGAUCAUUUCGCCAUCAGAUCCGAUUGCUUUUCCUAGAUCUAUGUCAUCUGGACCCAGGCUGGUACCCUUGACAGGAGGUACCCAGGACAGAAACUCUUAUCACAGCCUAAGAACCCUGAAAAGCUGGGAGUGGAGGAAAUCUUGCAAAAGGGUCUUAUGUGGUCUCCAUUGCUCCCCACAAGGAGGAAACGGGGAGGAAAACGGCAUGCCUGUCUGAGUCCACUUCCUUCUCAAGAGUUUCUCGGUGGCCAGGACUAUGUCAGGGGCCACUGUCCUUUAACAACAUAGACGCUAUUGCCUUCAACCAAAAUCCAAGCUCUCUAGAUUAGGAUAAAGGAUCUUGGGCGGACAGCCAGAAGUCUACACUCUAGUUACAAAGGACAGUUGUGCAGAAAGCAGUGUUCAAGAAAGAUGGACCUCCUGGUUCCCUCACACCUCAUGGUUCCCUCAAAGCCCCAAGUGAUUUGGCUGAGCAGAAUGACAAUGGCUCUCUCCCUAGUUCUCAAGAAAUGUUUGUCAGGACUGGCUUCCUCUCUGGCCAGCUGGCUCCCUGUACCAGGAUUUUCUAAGCAAGUUGCCCGGAAGCCUGCACAUUUGUGUGUGUUGGGAGGUCUGGGGCUUGAGGGAGUCUUCAUAAUCUCUUCAUGGAGCUUUGGUAUAGGAUCAAUCAACAGAAAUUGUUUUCUUUUGCUCCUUUUUGGUCCCCUCUAUCAUGUUCCAGUUAAUUAGGUUUUGUGGUAGCUAAGUUUGUGCAUUUGAUCCCUAGAAAGGCCAUCCAUUCCAUACACAAGGAAAGGCACUCUGUGCUCAGAAAGGCUACCUCUCUUCCUUCUGUGACUCUACCCUCAAUCCAGGAAUAUCCCGGGAGAUCGCCUCUCUGCUUCUACUCACAGCCUACGUACUGGCCAAGCCGAGGGAGAAGAAACACUUCCCACACCCAGAGCUGUGCAAAAGAACUUUCUGUGAUAUGAAACUGUUCUAUAUCUGUGGUGCCCAAUACGGCAACUACUAGUCACAUGUGUCUAGUAAACACUGAAAUAUGGCUAGCAGGGAUUAAAUUGUAUUUAAUUUCACCUGAGACAGCCACAUGGGGCUGGUGGCUUUUGUAUGUACAGUACAUAUCAUUCUCUUGUGUGUGUGUGUGUGUGUGUGUGUGUGUGUGUGUGUGUGUGUGACAGCUAGCCAUGGACUCCACACCCCAUGGUCUUCCUUUGUUCUUGCAUUCAGUUUUUCUCCUUGAGGAAAAAGAAAAUAAGUUAGAUCUAAAUUGAGAAUGUUCACAUCUGCCUAUUGCCUGUCUUCCUGCACCAAAUGGGAUAGGUUUUUGUGAUAGUUGACCAUGGAGAAUAUGGCAGUGUUGACUCACUACAUCCCCAUGUUCCCAGGCCUUGUCCCUAACCAAGGUCAUGCUGUCUUGUGCAGUUUAGUCCGUUUCAGUUCACUUUUUAAUAUUGUAAAUCCCAAAUGAUUAUAGUGUAUGUUUUUCAAGAUACCUAAUGGUUUAUAUUUUUUAAGGUUGUGAAUAAAAAAUAACAAUUACGUGUAAUUCAGGUGUGUGUGUGUGUGUGUGUGUGUGUGUGUGAGAGUGUGUGAUUUUUAGUAACUUAUUACCCAAACUUUGUUGUAUUAAUUAGGAUAUGAUUAAUAAAUGGAAAGUGAUAUUGCUUUUUAUAUCAGA
Long non-coding RNA from Rattus rattus (black rat), 3074 nucleotides. RefSeq lists it as uncharacterized. The transcript is spliced from 2 exons. NCBI's taxonomy places the organism in Eukaryota, Metazoa, Chordata, Mammalia, Rodentia, Muridae. The record is from RefSeq and is a predicted model, not a curated record.